This 671-nucleotide ribosomal RNA is filed under the name uncultured Candidatus Saccharibacteria bacterium. RNAcentral's name for it is "bacterial SSU rRNA". It matches the Rfam family "Bacterial small subunit ribosomal RNA", at positions 571 to 1253 of the family's 1533-position model. The record is from RNAcentral. Lineage: Bacteria; Candidatus Saccharimonadota.
GUAGGCGGUUUAAUAAGUGAAUAGUGAAACCUGGUGGCUCAACCAUACAGACUAUUAUUCAAACUUGUUAAACUCGAGAAUGGUAGAGGUAACUGGAAUUUCUAGUGUAGGAGUGAAAUCCGUAGAUAUUAGAAGGAACACCGAUGGCGUAGGCAGGUUACNUGGGCCAUUUCUGACGCUAAGGCACGAAAGCGUGGGGAGCGAACCGGAUUAGAUACCCGGGUAGUCCACGCCGUAAACGAUGGAUACUAGCUGUUGGAGGUAUCGACCCCUUCAGUAGCGAAGCUAACGCGUUAAGUAUCCCGCCUGUGGAGUACGGCCGCAAGGCUAAAACAUAAAGGAAUUGACGGGGACCCGCACAAGCGGUGGAUUAUGUUCUUUAAUUCGAUGAUAACCGAAGAACCUUACCAGGGCUUGACAUCCAGGGAAGGUCUGCGAAAGUAGACUGUGCCUUUUGGAACCCUGUGACAGGUGAUGCAUGGCCGUCGUCAGCUCGUGUCGUGAGAUGUUAGGUUAAGUCCUUCAACGAGCGCAACCCUUGUGAAUAGUUGUAUUUUUCUAUUCAGACUGCCCCGGUAACGGGGAGGAAGGAGGGGAUGAUGUCAGGUCAGUAUUUCCCUUACGUCCUGGGCUAGAAACGUAAUACAAUGGCUAGUACAAUGCGCAGCGAA